Populus nigra (black poplar) is the source of this 818-nucleotide long non-coding RNA. RefSeq lists it as uncharacterized. The record is from RefSeq and is a predicted model, not a curated record. Lineage: Eukaryota; Viridiplantae; Streptophyta; Magnoliopsida; Malpighiales; Salicaceae. The transcript has 4 exons.
CUCCUCUCUUUAAAAACAGAGCACGUCCUCUGCAAAUGGAAAAACAGGAGGGAGACCAUUUGUUUUGUCCCAUUUUCUUCAUUUUCUCUUCUUUUCUUCAAGCUAAAUCAAAAGGGAGUGUGCUUAGGAGGAUUAUAUCCAAGAAAACAAAUUAAAUGACAACUUAGAGAGUUAUAGAGCUUGAGAGAAACAAAGAGAAGAAGCUGGAAAUUGGAAGAGGAGGACAUGAUUUUUGUAAAUUUUUGCAAGAAUUCAUUGAAAUAAGUUAAAGUAGCAAAGGGCUGGAACUUCGGCAGCCAUAUUUUGACUUUGCACCGUUGGAUUAGAGUGAUUUUUGGAUAUGUUAUUAUACUCAAUGUCACCUACAUUCUGACUGGAGGGAUUGCAAAUAUCAGAUUUCGUUUGAGGGCUGUCACCGGAGGAACAUUUCUGGAAAAUCACCCUUCAAGACAGCUUUGUUCGUCAGCCGUUAUAUCAUCGUUUCACCGUUGGAUUGGUCUGGAUUUUGGAUAUUUUAUUCAUCCAGAUGUUAUGUAAAUUCUGAACGGUUUGGAUUGGAAAAGAACACUCCUACCAGAAAUUAUACUUCCUGAACAGCAGGUCUCCAAAUUUCAGGAGAAGCAUUCACUCGACUUCUCAGGAGCUCGUAUAGUAGGAGCUUAAGGAGGGACUGCAAGAGGGGCACAACAACAACAAGGAAGAGUGAGUUGAGCUUCUGCAGCUGGAUGACUGACUUGUCAGAUUAUAAAUGGAAUGUUGGACGAUACCUAAUUGUUAAACAAAAAUGGUAAUUUAUGUUUAUGUUAUGGAUUAUUGAA